Numida meleagris (helmeted guineafowl) is the source of this 2050-nucleotide long non-coding RNA. Lineage: Eukaryota; Metazoa; Chordata; Aves; Galliformes; Numididae. The record is from Ensembl.
CAGGCAGCCACACCACCAGCACCAUGCUAAGCUGCCAAGCCUGAGUCUCACUGGUACAAACCAGUUUUCAUUUAGUUUUCAGCUUUCAUAAAAGCAUUAUGUCAGACUUUUGCACACUGCUCAGGGGAACAGGAAACUAUUGCAACAUUUAUCUCACAGCAAAAGCAGUGAGCAAAAUCGACCACCCAUCUCAGGAUGUGAGCAGCAACCCCAGAAGGCUCCCACAGGAGCAAGUAACUCCUCUUGAAUGCCAGAAAUAUUAAAGAAGGAUGAACAAUCACCUGCAAGGCCUCUCUCAUACGUUCCCUGUCCACCAGGUUGUGCAGAGGCCUCUCCCUGCCUGAAGGCACAUGCAAGCUGCUGACGGCGGCAUGGUUACAUGCAGACUCAGGCCCCACUGAGUUGGGUUGAGGCUCUGCUCAGAAGUAUUUUGUGACAGCCAGGGGAAUAUUUGUCCCUGCUUGGCACCUUCUCACUGCAACACUGCUCCUGCUCCCUCUGGGCUGCAGUUUCAGCAGUUCCCAGCUGUGAAAGGCUGUACCUGUUUUGUUUUGUUUGCCGUUUAUUGCAUGUGCUUUUGCAAAGGUGUAGCUUGGCAGCAGAGGAGGCCGCAGGCUAGUCUUGUCCUUGCGGGAAGGACAGGCCAAUUCUAAAAGAGCCCUUCUCAAAGAACCUUUUGGAGGAGUGUGUGGAUGGUGGGGGGAGAGGUGCAAGCAAAUGACCAAGCGAGGAGUGAGCCCUCUGGGAUAGCAAAGCUUGCCAGUGCAUGGGAGACCAGAGAAAGCAGCCAGGAACCUCAGAGGGGAGCGGAGACGGACACGGAGCCCGGCUGGGGCGGCACCAAGUCUGCUGCAAGCCAGCCAGCCCCUGAGCUGGUGAACUGGAACAAGCCUGGGAGAAAAGACGUGACCGCGGAGGCAGGUCUGACUCUUGCAAAGCCAAUAUACAAUUGCCAUUGCUCUGGAAACCACUAUAUCCCACCAUCAAUUUUCUUAUGCAUCAGUAAACAAUAGUGUUAUCACAGAAGUUACAAUGAGGCAGGUGAAAAUGAGCACCUUCCUAACAGAGGCUCCUCAAAUGAAAUUUAAGAGGCAAAAUAAUCUGCAUUCAAAGUUUAUAUGGGAUUGAAGGAAACGGAAAGGAAGCAAGAAGCAACAUAAAAGGAACCUGAAGAGGGAAGACCAGGAAUUUCAAUUGGGUGAGCAAAAUGGGACAUGUUCAGUCCUUGACUGGAAUUCGGCAUUCCUCUCCAGGUAAUGUUCUCUGAUAUUAUUGCCUGAGGCUGUCUUACAUGGGAUUUAUUCGAUACCUAAGAAUUUCAUCAUGCUACCAUAGUAAACUACAGUUUACCUGACAGCUAAGAGUCAUCCCCUCAUUUUGUUUUUGCUUUUUAUUUAAAUUUUCUUAGUUUGAACCUUCAUUUUUAAAAAAAUGUUAUUAUUUGGAUAUACUAUAUCUAGUAUUACUAAAUCUAGCUAAUAUGUUUUUCCACAGUGGAACUCCCCAUUAAAUGAGAUGAAGAAUAUAUGAUUUCCCAUUUUCCACCAACGGAUUUCCUGAUUACCUGGUGACUCCAGAUGCACAAGUGAAAGCAAAAACUAGGAGCAUUUUAUUUUGGGCACGAGGCCAGUGUGCUUUCCCAAAUUUAGACAGUAAUGUUUUUGGCCUUGUUAGAUUCUAUCCUGUUGUUAUUGCAGCCAGAGGACUGGUGGUAAGAUUUGUCAAAGCUGCCUAGGUAUGUGCAUCAUAAGAGGAAGAUUUAGACACAGUGAGAAUUAGAAUUAAUGAAGGUACUACUGAUUUUGUCCAGAGUUUUUCUUGCUGAAGGUACUGCUGUAUCUUGUCUUACCUGAUGCAUCUAGGCUGGGGCAAUCCCAAGCACAGAUAGAGGUUGUGUGGAGAAUGGCUUGAGAGCUGCCUUGAGGAGAAGGGUUUGAGAGUGUCAGUUGAUGAAAUAUUCAACAUGAGCCAGCAAUGUGCACUUGCAGCCCAGAAGGCCAACCAUAUCCUGAGUUGCAUCAAGAGAAGCAUGACUAGCAGGUCGAGGGAG